CGUAGGCGGAUUGUUAAGUCGGGGGUGAAAUCCCGGGGCUCAACCCCGGAACUGCCUCCGAUACUGGCAGUCUCGAGUCCGAGAGAGGUGAGUGGAAUUCCGAGUGUAGAGGUGAAAUUCGUAGAUAUUCGGAGGAACACCAGUGGCGAAGGCGGCUCACUGGCUCGGUACUGACGCUGAGGUGCGAAAGCGUGGGGAGCAAACA
RNAcentral lists this ribosomal RNA (205 nucleotides) under uncultured bacterium. RNAcentral describes it as "partial 16S ribosomal RNA". It matches the Rfam family "Bacterial small subunit ribosomal RNA", at positions 570 to 774 of the family's 1533-position model. The record is from RNAcentral.